UCCUGCACUAAGGUCAUGCAUCCAGCAUGAAUUCCUUCUAAAUUAGGCAAAGCUGGACUGCACUUCCCAUGUCAGGUGGCCCACAAGGGACAAAUUGUUAGCACCCAAGGAAGUCUGCAGCCUGUGGGACUGAAAGUCAUCCAAGUCUGUGCCAAAAACACGAAGGAGGAGCCACUAGAAAUGGAAGAGUCUCAACAGGAAAAGAUCUGAAAUCAAAGAGCUCUAGUAGUCUGGAGCCUAAAGCCUGAGCAUUACUAAGUGUUCAGCUCACAUUCAACUUUUCAGUGCAAUAUGAGAGAUGACAACACAAUAAAGUAAUGUAUGAGAGCAACAGCACUAAAACCAUGGGUUUCUGGUGUGAAGGGAGCGGUGACCCUAAUUUAAAUCGGGUCACUUCCUGGCUCUAGAUAGGUCCGAAAACACAGGUGUCAUUGUAGAAAGGAGCCUGGAAACAUUAUUGUUCACGUGUAAUUCUGGAGGUUAAACUGGGAUUAUGUGUUUUAUGUCCUCCUCAGCUCAGUUAUGCAGGAAGGAGAACAGCUACUUGUGAACUUUGAGACAUUACUGCUCCCACAAGCCAAACACAGUGUGACAAACACUUCAGUACCAUAGAAAAUGAUGCAAUUAGGGACAACUACUACACAGACUUUUUUUUAACUUUGUGAAACAUAUAAAUUCAAAUGUGUGAUAUUUAGUGAUAAAUUCUUAAAAUGCAUACAUCUUUUUCACCUACACUUUUUGUUUAAUUCUUUUAUGUUUGGUUGGUUGGUUUGGGGGGUUUGUUUUUGGUUUUAGAGACCUUCUUUGAGGAUAUGGAACCUUCUCUUACCAUUUUACUACUAAAGAUUCUCCUUUAGUAUCUGUUGUAGUACAAAAGCAAAGGCUGGAAAGUCUUAUUACAGCAUUUACAGAUUCAGAAUCCCCAUAAAACAAAUCCAGUCCUGGUCCAAAAGCACUAUAAGUUGAGUGCAUGAUAACAACAAUCUAAAUAUAAACAAGUUUCCAUAAUAAUUGCUAAUGCUUUCUAAAUUAGGUUUACCCAAGUAUAUACUUUCUCGUAGGCAGUUUUGAACUGAACUGUCUCACAGGAGUGUGUCCACCAGGAAACAGAAUAGCUCAGAAGGUGUGAAUGAUUCAGAUGCAUCAUCAGGAACAACAAGAUCCCAAUGCAUUUAGUCAUAUUUCACUGCCUCCUACAUAAUUAAUUUAAUUUAUUUGCUAUGCUCUCAAUCCACUUCUCCAUUAUUACGAAAAGAACCGAGGCUUGAAAAUCAUCUAAGUACCCAUGGAUAUGGAAAUACAUUGUGACAGGUGACUGUGUGAAAAGACAUGUCUGGGGUGAGAUUUAUCUCAGCUUGCUGUGUCCACACACUUUUUUAUAGCAGCUAUCCUGUCUCUUUAGUUGGUGAGUCUCUCCUCAGAGAGGAAAAAAUGCCCUGUGGCAUUGAUUGUAUAUUGGGUUUGGAUCCAUUAAGUCCCUCUAAUUCCCGUUGGCUAAGCAUGCUGGAUAUAAGUCACACUAGGCACAGAGCCUUUGGGAAAAUUCAGUACAUUGGAGUCCAGGUCCAAAGGCUUUAAAUUAUUAGAUUCAUUCUUAGGGACCAGAAACUGUGUGACUCAGGUAAACAAACCUCUCUGUAUUCCUGGAAUUGAAGGCAAUCAAAUUUCAUUUUCUUUUAGAGAGUUUAUUUGCUAUUAGUGACACAGAUUGAGUUCAUUAUCGAAUAUUCCCGUGGGACAACCAGGACUGGGCCUUUGUAUUUGCAGCACAUGGUGCUCAACGCAGCAAAUUAACCUGGGAGAGCUUUAUUCUGCAUUGCUCCAAGCUACAUUGCAACUGGAAGUCUUAGGGGGAUUUGAGGGUCCUGAAUGAAAGAUUAUUUCUUAGUUCAAAAUAGGUGUUGCUGACUAUCUGAAUGUGUUAUUGCCAAAAGAAUAAUGAUUCUCCUCUCUUUUUGCAUUUUUUUAAUGACUAAAAUAAAUUACUUUGACGUACAC
This is a long non-coding RNA of Pseudopipra pipra, 1998 nucleotides long. RefSeq lists it as uncharacterized. The transcript is spliced from 2 exons. The record is from RefSeq and is a predicted model, not a curated record. Lineage: Eukaryota; Metazoa; Chordata; Aves; Passeriformes; Pipridae.